Molecule: ribosomal RNA, 484 nt
Filed under: uncultured bacterium
Lineage: Bacteria
Description: partial 16S ribosomal RNA
Rfam family: Bacterial small subunit ribosomal RNA
Source: RNAcentral
AUUGAACGCUGGCGGCAUGCUUUACACAUGCAAGUCGAACGGCAGCGCGGGGUUCGGCCUGGCGGCGAGUGGCGAACGGGUGAGUAAUGCAUCGGAACGUGCCCAGUAGUGGGGGAUAGCCCGGCGAAAGCCGGAUUAAUACCGCAUACGACCUGAGGGUGAAAGCGGGGGACCGAAAGGCCUCGCGCUAUUGGAGCGGCCGAUGUCGGAUUAGCUAGUUGGUGGGGUAAAGGCUUACCAAGGCGACGAUCCGUAGCUGGUCUGAGAGGACGACCAGCCACACUGGGACUGAGACACGGCCCAGACUCCUACGGGAGGCAGCAGUGGGGAAUUUUGGACAAUGGGGGCAACCCUGAUCCAGCCAUGCCGCGUGCGGGAAGAAGGCCUUCGGGUUGUAAACCGCUUUUGUUCGGGAAGAAAUCCUCUGGGCUAAUACCCCGGGGGGAUGACGGUACCGGAAGAAUAAGCACCGGCUAACUACGUG